AGUGAACGCUGGCGGUAGGCCUAACACAUGCAAGUCGAACGGCAGCACAGUAAGAGCUUGCUCUUACGGGUGGCGAGUGGCGGACGGGUGAGGAAUACAUCGGAAUCUACUUUUUCGUGGGGGAUAACGUAGGGAAACUUACGCUAAUACCGCAUACGACCUACGGGUGAAAGCAGGGGAUCUUCGGACCUUGCGCGACUGAAUGAGCCGAUGUCGGAUUAGCUAGUUGGCGGGGUAAAGGCCCACCAAGGCGACGAUCCGUAGCUGGUCUGAGAGGAUGAUCAGCCACACUGGAACUGAGACUCGGUCCAGACUCCUACGGGAGGCAGCAGUGGGGAAUAUUGGACAAUGGGCGCAAGCCUGAUCCAGCCAUACCGCGUGGGUGAAGAAGGCCUUCGGGUUGUAAAGCCCUUUUGUUGGGAAAGAAAAGCAGCAGGUUAAUACCCCGCUGUUCUGACGGUACCCAAAGAAUAAGCACCGGCUAACUUCGUG
RNAcentral lists this ribosomal RNA (492 nucleotides) under uncultured bacterium. RNAcentral's name for it is "partial 16S ribosomal RNA". It matches the Rfam family "Bacterial small subunit ribosomal RNA", at positions 29 to 507 of the family's 1533-position model. The record is from RNAcentral.